This 494-nucleotide ribosomal RNA is filed under the name uncultured bacterium. RNAcentral describes it as "partial 16S ribosomal RNA". It matches the Rfam family "Bacterial small subunit ribosomal RNA", at positions 28 to 507 of the family's 1533-position model. The record is from RNAcentral.
GACGAACGCUGGCGGCGUGCUUAACACAUGCAAGUCGAACGGUGAAGCGCCUUCCUUUUUGGUGGGUGUGGAUGAGUGGCGAACGGGUGAGUAACACGUGGGUAACCUGCCCCCUUCUUCUGGAUAACCGCAUGAAAGUGUGGCUAAUACGGGAUAUUCUGGGUCUGUCGCAUGAUGGGUCUGGGAAAGAUAUUGUUUCGGUGGGGGAUGGGCUCGCGGCCUAUCAGCUUGUUGGUGGGGUGAUGGCCUACCAAGGCGGUGACGGGUAGCCGGCCUGAGAGGGUGGACGGUCACACUGGGACUGAGGCACGGCCCAGACUCCUACGGGAGGCAGCAGUGGGGAAUAUUGCACAAUGGGCGCAAGCCUGAUGCAGCGACGCCGCGUGAGGGAUGGAGGCCUGCGGGUUGUGAACCUCUUUCGCCAGUGAAGCAGGCCUGCCUCGUUUGUGGGUGGGUUGACGGUAGCUGGAUAAGAAGCGCCGGCUAACUACGUG